RNAcentral lists this non-coding RNA (85 nucleotides) under Pseudomonas panipatensis. Lineage: Bacteria; Pseudomonadati; Pseudomonadota; Gammaproteobacteria; Pseudomonadales; Pseudomonadaceae. The record is from RNAcentral.
AUCAAUGGCGGCUGCGUGCGGGACACCCUCGGGUGUGCCGGACCUCUGGUUCCGGUCGGCCAACCCGUGCGCAGUCGCCUCCCUC